RNAcentral lists this ribosomal RNA (318 nucleotides) under Triticum aestivum (bread wheat). Its description in RNAcentral is "partial small subunit ribosomal RNA". The record is from RNAcentral. Lineage: Eukaryota; Viridiplantae; Streptophyta; Magnoliopsida; Poales; Poaceae.
AUGACUGUCCGGGCGUCCGAAGGUCGUCGAUCGUCCGUAGGUUUGGCUCGGUUGCAUGUCGUCCGGUCGUCCGGUCCGCUUCGGACGUCCGUAGAUUUGGUUCGGGUAGCGACGUACCGGACGUCCGGAAAGCUCGGUCGUCCGUGUCCUGGCACUCGUCGGACGUCCGGACUGGGUCGGUCGUCCGACGCCUGUAGCUUCCACGGCAGCUCUUCUUCUUGUCCAUCAUGCUUGGGGUCCUCGCCGUCUUGGUUCUUGUAUGUAGCUGUUCCGUGGCUCGCUUCCAGGCACCUGAUCACACACAGAGUUUCCAAAUGA